This 1481-nucleotide long non-coding RNA is filed under the name Sus scrofa (pig). The record is from RNAcentral. Lineage: Eukaryota; Metazoa; Chordata; Mammalia; Artiodactyla; Suidae.
UCUCAUUUUUCCCGGGCUUUCGGUCAGCGUUUUCCUUUUCUCGCGGGUUUGGGCGCGCAUCGAACUCUGAAGGGUCGGGAAGGCCUGUCGUUGGAAUGUGGUUGAGUUCCAGGGAGUGUACAGGCUGGAGGAUGGGACAAGACCUAUCUCUGUAUCGAUCAAGCACGGCGUUGGUGUUCCAGCUCAUCACCAAUCCUAAGGAAUUCAAGUGCCUCCCAGGAUGAAUACAGGUUGUCUUGAUGGUGAUACAUUCAUCUGUCUUAAGAUCCCUGCUGAUCUGCUCAUGGUCAAACUCCUGGAAAGAGUUGAGAGUGGUGAGUACUUGUAACCUUGGUUGUAACUUGUCUCCAGUGCCAGUGAGGAGAGCAAGCAUCCUGUCUUAACCCCUGUCCUAGCCCCAGAGCCAGAAAUGGUGAACCCACUGGGGCUAACAGGGAGAGAGGAUGAAAACAUGUUCCGUAAGGAACUGUCUGAGGUACAGCAACUGCCAAUGGGUAGCAUUCGUUUAGCUUCCCUUGGCUUACAUAUUAGCUGGGAUCCUUUUGGUUUUUUAAGGUACUCUACUGAUUUCAUGAUCUUCUCAUUCAGGGGCACCUUGUUCCUGCAUCCUCAAAGGAGCAUCUUGUUCCUCCAUUUAAGCUUCCAGAGUUAAAAGGUUAGUUGAUUAAUGUCACCAUAAUAUAUGCCACCAAGUAAGCAGUUUCUGUGAUGAAUCAAACUAGCUCACUAUGAACUAACAAUGAAAAGAUAUGAACACCUGAGAAACUGGAGAACAGAGCAGUGGGAUACUGUCUGCUAGGAACUUAAUAUCACUUACAGUUUUGUCCUUUCCUAGGUACCUGUACCAUUUAGCGGCUUGUUCACUCAAAGGUGAGUGAUUUAUAUGUUGGUGCAUACCGUGUACUGAGGGAGAAAAUGCCUUUUUAGGCAUCUACACAUGAUGACUUACAUGGAAUCUCGUUCGGCUGAUGAUUUGCUGUUGAGACUCGGAAAUCUGAUUUUUUUUUUCUUUUAAGAACUUAAGUGGGAACAAAUUUUAAUGUAGGAAGUAAGCAUUACUGACUCAUUCUUGUUUUGUUUUAGAUCCAUCUUGUCUGGAGCCUGAGGAUGAUUGGAGGUGAAAGGUGUAAGCCAUACUCUGCUCAACUCCAGUCUGAAACUGAGGUUUAAAGAACACAUACUUAACACACGGGUGGGUAAGUAUCCAUUCACGUACUUGUGUUAAAUAUCAGACUAACUAUAUAAAUACAAAAGUACAUUAGAGCAGCCCUUUUAGUGUUAACUGGUUGAAAGGAUAGUAUGUUCUAAGUCCGUUUUAGUAACUAAGUCCGUUUUAGUAAGAACCCUAAACUGUUCUUUUUCUCUGCAGGAAUCCAACUCUUGGAGGACAUCAGAAGUGGAAUUUUCUUAUACAACCUACCUAUUCAAAUUAGCAUAUAAUCUUUCUAGCCUUUCUAAAUAAAUAAAGGGAUUUUUUUGUA